Molecule: ribosomal RNA, 497 nt
Filed under: uncultured bacterium
Lineage: Bacteria
Description: partial 16S ribosomal RNA
Rfam family: Bacterial small subunit ribosomal RNA
Source: RNAcentral
GAUGAACGCUGGCGGCGUGCCUAAUACAUGCAAGUCGAGCGAACAGACGAGGAGCUUGCUCCUCUGACGUUAGCGGCGGACGGGUGAGUAACACGUGGAUAACCUACCUAUAAGACUGGGAUAACUUCGGGAAACCGGAGCUAAUACCGGAUAAUAUAUUGAACCGCAUGGUUCAAUAGUGAAAGACGGUUUUGCUGUCACUUAUAGAUGGAUCCGCGCCGCAUUAGCCAGUUGGUAAGGUAACGGCUUACCAAGGCAACGAUGCGUAGCCGACCUGAGAGGGUGAUCGGCCACACUGGAACUGAGACACGGUCCAGACUCCUACGGGAGGCAGCAGUAGGGAAUCUUCCGCAAUGGGCGAAAGCCUGACGGAGCAACGCCGCGUGAGUGAUGAAGGUCUUCGGAUCGUAAAACUCUGUUAUUAGGGAAGAACAAAUGUGUAAGUAACUAUGCACGUCUUGACGGUACCUAAUCAGAAAGCCACGGCUAACUACGUG